This 301-nucleotide ribosomal RNA is filed under the name uncultured bacterium. RNAcentral describes it as "partial 16S ribosomal RNA". It matches the Rfam family "Bacterial small subunit ribosomal RNA", at positions 509 to 807 of the family's 1533-position model. The record is from RNAcentral.
CAGUCGCCGCGGUAAUACGUAGGGUGCGAGCGUUAAUCGGAAUUACUGGGCGUAAAGCGUGCGCAGGCGGUUCGUUAAGACAGAUGUGAAAUCCCCGGGCUUAACCUGGGAACUGCAUUUGUGACUGGCGAGCUAGAGUAUGGCAGAGGGGGGUAGAAUUCCACGUGUAGCAGUGAAAUGCGUAGAGAUGUGGAGGAAUACCGAUGGCGAAGGCAGCCCCCUGGGCCAAUACUGACGCUCAUGCACGAAAGCGUGGGGAGCAGACAGGAUUAGAUACCCCUGUAGUCCCUGUCUCUUAUAC